RNAcentral lists this ribosomal RNA (424 nucleotides) under uncultured bacterium. Its description in RNAcentral is "bacterial SSU rRNA". It matches the Rfam family "Bacterial small subunit ribosomal RNA", at positions 355 to 796 of the family's 1533-position model. The record is from RNAcentral.
CGACGAAUCUUCCGCAAUGGGCGCAAGCCUGACGGAGCGACGCCGCGUGUGGGAUGAAGCGCCUUCGGCGUGUAAACCACUGUCAGGGGGUAGAACCAAUGAUCACCCCCAGAGGAAGAGACGGCUAACCCUGUGCCAGCAGCCGCGGUAAGACAGGGGUCUCGAGCGUUAAUCGGAAUUACUGGGCUUAAAGGGUGCGUAGGUGGGCCUGCAAGUGCUCCGUGAAAUCCCCCGGCUCAACCGGGGAACUGCGGGGCAUACUGCGGGCCUUGAGGAAGGUAGGCGCCGAGGGAACAGUAGGUGGAGCGGUGAAAUGCGUAGAUAUCUACUGGAACGCCGAUGGUGAAGACGCUCGGCUGGGCCUUUCCUGACACUGAGGCACGAAAGCGUGGGGAGCAAACAGGAUUAGAUACCCCCGUAGUCC